GACCCCUGGCGGAUGCUAACACAUGCAAGUCGAACGAGAUCUUCGGAUCUAGUGGCGCACGGGUGAGUACGUGGGAACCUACUUUUAGUACGGGACAACGUUUGGAAACGAACGCUAAUACCGUAUACGCCCUCCGGGGGAAAGGUCAGCCGCUGAAAGAGGGGCCCGCGUCUGAUUAGCUUGUUGGUAAGGUAACGGCUUACCAAGGCAACGAUCAGUAGCUGGUCUGAGAGGAUGAUCAGCCACACUGGGACUGAGACACGGCCCAGACUCCUACGGGAGGCAGCAGUGGGGAAUAUUGGACAAUGGAGGCAACUCUGAUCCAGCAAUGCCCGCGUGUGUGAUGAAGGCCCUAGGGUUGUAAAGCACUUUCAACGGUGAAGAUGAUGACGGUAGCCGUAGAAGAAGCCCCGGCUAACUUCGUGCCAGCAGCCGCGGUAAUACGAAGGGGGCGAGCGUUAUUCGGAAUUAUUGGGCGUAAAGGGCUCGCAGGCUGCUUGAACAGUUAGACGUGAAAUCCCCGGGCUUAACCUGGGAACUGCGUUUAAAUACUAGCAAGCUAGAGAAAAUAGAGAGGAAAGUGGAACUCCCAGUGUAGAGGUGAAAUUCGUAGAUUUGGGAAGAAC
Molecule: ribosomal RNA, 626 nt
Filed under: uncultured Alphaproteobacteria bacterium
Lineage: Bacteria; Pseudomonadati; Pseudomonadota; Alphaproteobacteria
Description: bacterial SSU rRNA
Rfam family: Bacterial small subunit ribosomal RNA
Source: RNAcentral